GAUGAACGCUAGCGGCAGGCUUAACACAUGCAAGUCGAGGGGCAUCGAGAGAGUAGCAAUACUUUUGUCGGCGACCGGCGGACGGGUGCGUAACGCGUAUGCAACCUACCUUAUACAGGGGGGAUAACCUUUUCGAAAGGGAGACUAAUACCGCAUAACAUUACUUUGAGGCAUCUUGAGGUAAUUAAAUCUUCGGAGGUAUAAGAUGGGCAUGCGUAGCAUUAGCUAGAUGGUGCGGUAACGGCGUACCAUGGCGACGAUGCUUAGGGGUUCUGAGAGGAAGGUCCCCCANACUGGUACUGAGAUACGGACCAGACUCCUACGGGAGGCAGCAGUGAGGAAUAUUGGUCAAUGGUCGGAAGACUGAACCAGCCAUGCCGCGUGCAGGAAGAAUGUCUUAUGGAUUGUAAACUGCUUUUGUAUGGGAAUAAAAAAUAGAACGUGUUCUAUAUUGUAUGUACCAUACGAAUAAGGAUUGGCU
RNAcentral lists this ribosomal RNA (481 nucleotides) under uncultured bacterium. RNAcentral's name for it is "bacterial SSU rRNA". It matches the Rfam family "Bacterial small subunit ribosomal RNA", at positions 28 to 498 of the family's 1533-position model. The record is from RNAcentral.